RNAcentral lists this ribosomal RNA (301 nucleotides) under uncultured bacterium. Its description in RNAcentral is "partial 16S ribosomal RNA". It matches the Rfam family "Bacterial small subunit ribosomal RNA", at positions 509 to 807 of the family's 1533-position model. The record is from RNAcentral.
CAGUCGCCGCGGUAAUACGAAGGGUGCAAGCGUUAAUCGGAAUUACUGGGCGUAAAGCGUGCGUAGGCGGUUUGUUAAGUCUGUUGUGAAAUCCCCGGGCUCAACCUGGGAAUGGCAAUGGAUACUGGCAAGCUAGAGUGUGUCAGGGGAUGGUGGAAUUCCCGGUGUAGCGGUGAAAUGCGUAGAGAUCGGGAGGAACAUCAGUGGCGAAGGCGGCCAUCUGGGACAACACUGACGCUGAGGCACGAAAGCGUGGGGAGCAAACAGGAUUAGAUACCCGCGUAGUCCCUGUCUCUUAUAC